UGAAAGGAUGGACCAUGU
Molecule: non-coding RNA, 18 nt
Filed under: Mus musculus (house mouse)
Lineage: Eukaryota; Metazoa; Chordata; Mammalia; Rodentia; Muridae
Source: RNAcentral